Molecule: non-coding RNA, 941 nt
Filed under: Scincella reevesii
Lineage: Eukaryota; Metazoa; Chordata; Lepidosauria; Squamata; Scincidae
Description: 12S ribosomal RNA
Rfam family: Bacterial small subunit ribosomal RNA
Source: RNAcentral
UAAAGUUUUGGUCCUAAACUUGCCAUUGUUUUUUACUAAAAUUAUACAUGCAAGCCUCCACAAACCAGUGAGAAUGCCCACAUACCCCUAAACAGUUAGCCGGAGCAGGUAUCAGGAUCGACACCCUUCAGCCAAAGACACCUUGCUAAUGCCACACCCCCACGGGCCCCCAGCAGUAAUUAACAUUAAGUAUAAGCGAAAGCUCGAAUUAAUUAUAGUAAACACGGUCGGUAAAUUUCGUGCCAGCCACCGCGGUUAUACGAAAGACCAAAAACAAUGACCCCCCGGCGUAAAGCGUGACUAAAGAUUAUAACUAUUAGAGACAAACACCUGCCAAGUUGUAAAAUACCUAUGCAAAUAAGAAAAACACAUCAACCUCUAAUCACCCCUUAUCUCACGAAAGCUAAGAAACAAACUGGGAUUAGAUACCCCACUAUGCCUAGCCCUAAACACUGACCACAUACGCACAACACAAUCCGCCAGAGAACUACAAGCGAAAAGCUAAAAACUCCAAGGACUUGGCGGUGCCUUAAACCAACCUAGAGGAGCCUGUCCUAUAAUCGAUACCCCACGUUAAACCUUACCCCUCUUAGCCAAACAGCCUAUAUACCGCCGUCGCCAGCCUACCUUAUGAAAGAAAUAAAGUAAGCAAAAUAGUUAACAACUAACACGUCAGGUCAAGGUGUAGCACACGGAGGGGGCAGAGAUGGGCUACACUAUCAAUGAACGAAGAUACGAACAACAUGCUGAAACACAUGUUUGAAGGUGGAUUUAGUAGUAAGAUGUAUAAGAAAAGCCAUCUUAAACCUGCUCUAAGGCGCGCACACACCGCCCGUCACCCUCAUCACAUGCGCACACCACACAAACAUAUAUUUAAAACGCAACCCAGAUGAGGCAAGUCGUAACAUGGUAAGCGCACUGGAAAGUACGCUUGGAAUCAA